Molecule: ribosomal RNA, 465 nt
Filed under: uncultured Streptococcus sp.
Lineage: Bacteria; Bacillati; Bacillota; Bacilli; Lactobacillales; Streptococcaceae
Description: bacterial SSU rRNA
Rfam family: Bacterial small subunit ribosomal RNA
Source: RNAcentral
CCUACGGGAGGCAGCAGUAGGGAAUCUUCGGCAAUGGACGGAAGUCUGACCGAGCAACGCCGCGUGAGUGAAGAAGGUUUUCGGAUCGUAAAGCUCUGUUGUAAGAGAAGAACGAGUGUGAGAGUGGAAAGUUCACACUGUGACGGUAUCUUACCAGAAAGGGACGGCUAACUACGUGCCAGCAGCCGCGGUAAUACGUAGGUCCCGAGCGUUGUCCGGAUUUAUUGGGCGUAAAGCGAGCGCAGGCGGUUAGAUAAGUCUGAAGUUAAAGGCUGUGGCUUAACCAUAGUACGCUUUGGAAACUGUUUAACUUGAGUGCAAGAGGGGAGAGUGGAAUUCCAUGUGUAGCGGUGAAAUGCGUAGAUAUAUGGAGGAACACCGGUGGCGAAAGCGGCUCUCUGGUCUGUAACUGACGCUGAGGCUCGAAAGCGUGGGGAGCGAACAGGAUUAGAUACCCCGGUAGUC